RNAcentral lists this ribosomal RNA (301 nucleotides) under uncultured bacterium. Its description in RNAcentral is "partial 16S ribosomal RNA". It matches the Rfam family "Bacterial small subunit ribosomal RNA", at positions 509 to 809 of the family's 1533-position model. The record is from RNAcentral.
CAGUCGCCGCGGUAAUACGUAGGGUCCGAGCGUUGUCCGGAAUUACUGGGCGUAAAGAGCUCGUAGGUGGUUUGUCGCGUUGUUCGUGAAAACUCACAACUCAAUUGUGGGCGUGCGGGCGAUACGGGCAGACUGGAGUACUGCAGGGGAGACUGGAAUUCCUGGUGUAGCGGUGGAAUGCGCAGAUAUCAGGAGGAACACCGGUGGCGAAGGCGGGUCUCUGGGCAGUAACUGACGCUGAGGAGCGAAAGCGUGGGGAGCGAACAGGAUUAGAUACCCGUGUAGUCCCUGUCUCUUAUAA